UUCUCUCUUGAAUGUAUCCUGAGUACGGCGGAACACGUGAAAUUCCGUCGGAAUCUGGGAGGACCAUCUCCCAAGGCUAAAUACUCCCUAGUGACCGAUAGUGAACCAGUACCGUGAGGGAAAGGUGAAAAGCACCCCGGAAGGGGAGUGAAACAGAUCCUGAAACCGUGUGCCUACAAGUAGUCAAAGCCCUAUGACCUUCGGGUCAGGGUAAUGGCGUGCCUUUUGUAGAAUGAACCGGCGAGUUACGAUCUGAUGCAAGGUUAAGCAGGAGAUGUGGAGCCGUAGCGAA
RNAcentral lists this ribosomal RNA (292 nucleotides) under Micrococcus luteus. RNAcentral describes it as "partial 23S ribosomal RNA". It matches the Rfam family "Bacterial large subunit ribosomal RNA", at positions 390 to 675 of the family's 2925-position model. Lineage: Bacteria; Bacillati; Actinomycetota; Actinomycetes; Micrococcales; Micrococcaceae. The record is from RNAcentral.